RNAcentral lists this ribosomal RNA (442 nucleotides) under uncultured bacterium. Its description in RNAcentral is "partial 16S ribosomal RNA". It matches the Rfam family "Bacterial small subunit ribosomal RNA", at positions 338 to 795 of the family's 1533-position model. The record is from RNAcentral.
CCUACGGGGUGCAGCAGUGGGGAAUAUUGGGCAAUGGGCGCAAGCCUGACCCAGCAACGCCGCGUGAAGGAAGAAGGCUUUCGGGUUGUAAACUUCUUUUCUGAGGGACGAAGAAAGUGACGGUACCUCAGGAAUAAGCCACGGCUAACUACGUGCCAGCAGCCGCGGUAAUAAGUAGGUGGCAAGCGUUAUCCGGAUUUAUUGGGUGAAAAGGGCGUGUAGGCGGGAAAGAAAGUCAGAUGUGAAAACUCAGGGCUCAACCCUAGCCUGCAUUUGAAAACGUUUUUCUUGAGUGCUGGAGAGGCAAUCGGAAUUCCGGGUGUAGCGGUGAAAUGCGUAGAUAUACGGAGGAACACCAGUGGCGAAGGCGGAUUGCUGGACAGUAACUGACGCUGAGGCGCGAAAGCGUGGGGAGCAAACAGGAUUAGAUACCCGGGUAGUC